This 215-nucleotide unclassified non-coding RNA is filed under the name plant metagenome. Its description in RNAcentral is "partial contains small subunit ribosomal RNA, internal transcribed spacer 1, and 5.8S ribosomal RNA". The record is from RNAcentral.
UCUCCGUUGGUGAACCAGCGGAGGGAUCAUUACCGAGUUUACAGCUCCCAAACCCCUGUGAACAUACCUGUUUUGUUGCUUCGGCGGUGCCCUCGCUCUCGCGGCGAGGCCCGCCAGAGGACCCAAACAAACUCUUUGACUUUGAUCUAGGAUUAUACUUCUGAGUGAUACAAAAAAUAAAAUCAAAACUUUCAACAACGGAUCUCUUGGUUCUG